This is a long non-coding RNA of Diabrotica virgifera virgifera (western corn rootworm), 1041 nucleotides long. RefSeq lists it as uncharacterized. The transcript has 3 exons. The record is from RefSeq and is a predicted model, not a curated record. NCBI's taxonomy places the organism in Eukaryota, Metazoa, Arthropoda, Insecta, Coleoptera, Chrysomelidae.
CCUCCUAAUCUUAAGUGUUUUUAAUUCCUAUAAUGUUGAAAUUUUGCUUUCUCUAUUUAAUUAGAGUAUUUUUUAAGAUAUCACCGUAAUUCGGUCUUAAAUUUCGAUGAAAUAUAGUUUUUUAGUGAUAUUCUCCAAGCAAAAGGGUGAACUUUUGUAAACCAUUCUAUUUUUUAUAAUAAAAAUGAUAAUUUGCUUUGCCCCGGACUGUAAACACUAUAAUGAAAGAUGGUUAUGUAGAUUCUUUAUGUUUACAAAGGAUCUAGUUGAAAAAAAGAGGUAGAUUUCAUUACUAAGUAAGAAAAUAUAGUGAUAGUAAAGAACUGAAUUUAUCCCUUUAUUACUAUUGACUCACAGACGGAAAGAUAGGGAACCAUUCUUUAGUUUGCUGGUGCCACUUUGUGAAUUCUGACCAACAAAAUGACCAAACAUUUUUAGAGCAUAUCAAGCCAAAGGUUUUUUUGAUGGACAAUUAACCUUUACAUCUAAAUUAAAAGAGUAAAGUAUAUUUUGCUUCUUGAAAUGGCAUUCAAUAUCAACUUGAGAAAGAAACAGUUUGAUUUGUUGGUAAUGACCGAAGAUGAAAUCCAAGAACUUAUGGAUUCUGUUGAAACUGAUUGGAAAAAAGCAAAACAUCCCAUUGAUGACAUUCGCAGUGACAGUAUUGAUCACUUUCCACUUUAGCUCAGCAAAGAGGAUGGUAAAAAAAUGCAGCCAGGAGAAGGGCAUGGCUCUAACCCUCAACAAUGAGCAUUACAGAAAAUUAACAGUUCCCUAGGUAACCAUCCACUGAAAAUCUUAGAUUCAUCAGGUAACCAUAUUGUCUUAUUUGGACCUACCAUCUGACCCCUACUGAAGAUUGUAAAGAACUCAAGACAGCACCUUAAGAAGCCUUCAGACCAUCAGCUAAGAUCCUUAAUAAAAUAUAUAGCUGGCCUGUAAACAUAGACUAUUUUUAUAUAAAGUAACAUCAUAAAUUCUAAAAUGUAGAUCUUGAAUUGUGACCAUAAUAAAAUGAGAAAAUAAAGCAUUUAUACUGAA